Molecule: ribosomal RNA, 275 nt
Filed under: Proteus mirabilis
Lineage: Bacteria; Pseudomonadati; Pseudomonadota; Gammaproteobacteria; Enterobacterales; Morganellaceae
Description: partial 23S ribosomal RNA
Rfam family: Bacterial large subunit ribosomal RNA
Source: RNAcentral
AAGGCUAGGUUGUCCGGGCGACGGUCGUCCCGGUUCAAGCAGGUAGGCAGAGUGAUUAGGCAAAUCCGGUCACUUAAUGCUGAGAUGUGAUGACGAACCACCAAGGUGGUGAAGCAAUUGAUGCCCCGCUUCCAGGAAAAGCCUCUAAGCUUCAGGUUACCAACAAUCGUACCCCAAACCGACACAGGUGGUCAGGUAGAGAAUACUCAGGCGCUUGAGAGAACUCGGGUGAAGGAACUAGGCAAAAUGGUGCCGUAACUUCGGGAGAAGGCACG